UAGACAAUUGUGGUAUAAAAGGACCUAGUUGCUCCAGGGGCUCCAGUCGAUUCGCAAAGCCGAGUUUUCAGAUUGUGCUGUUGCCCUCAAAGAGAGAGUCUUUAACUAUGGAGAUGGACUCACUUGAACGGCUGAGAAGCUUCAUGAUUGCGUUCUCAACUGUUCGAAGACAUCAUCUUAGUGACAAUACUGAUGAAGAUCUUCAUGCAUCCCAAGUUGCCGAAGAGACUCACAAACAGCACCUCAUGGCGCUAGAUGUUAUAAAGGUUAAAGCUCCAGUAGAUGUCAUGGCAGUUAAGAAACUUCGCAAUGAGGGAUGGAUGGGAACUAUCGAAGUGGUUGCAUGGCCCUAUUCUCCGGAUGGCGAAAGGAUUCGUAGAAUAGCAUAUACUGAAGGAGUUCCAAUAGCCAAUCCUUUUGAAAGCUGAAGAUGAAGCAUUGGUUUUGAAUUAAACUCCUGUUUAUAGAUGUUAGCUAGUUUUAACAGCAUAUUAACUUAAUGCAGUUCUGCUUAAGGAGUGACUCCCGCUUUCUGCUAGUUCUGCUUGUAAUUUAGAUCAGUUCUGUUUAGGGGUCCCGAGGGGCUUUCGGUUGUAAGUUUUCUUUGCUUCUUGAACCGAACAAAAAAAAAAACUGGUAUUUAUUGACAUGUUAGAGUGGAGCUGCAAUAUCACUAUUACCAAUAUUUAAUUUUGGGUACUGUUUUUAUUAGCGUUUCCUUGUUUAUUUCUGACUUCACUUGGCCCCUUCAGAGUUUCCACGUUUAGCUUCGUUACCGUCCAAAAUAUUGACCUGUCUUAUUGAAUUCACGUAGAUGUUCAAUUAUUUGCAUACGAGUACGUAAAGAAAUGCUCUUAAUUCCCCAUUUGAGUGGACAUGGAAGGACUCCCUCAAAUGGCUAAGAAGCUUCAUGAUUGUGUUCUCAGAUGUUGUCGAAAGCUCCUUAGAUGUCAUGCCAGUUUUGAUACUUUGGAAUGAAUAAUGGACGACUUCUCCGGAAAACAGGAAGAUGCAGACUAUAACUGAGCUCCGCGGCGUUUCAGUGGUUGAUGUUGAUUCUGAUGAAAGCUAAAUAGGCGGCCAUGGAUUGAAUUAGGUGAAGUCUGUUGAA
Rosa chinensis is the source of this 1111-nucleotide long non-coding RNA. RefSeq lists it as uncharacterized. The transcript has 3 exons. The record is from RefSeq and is a predicted model, not a curated record. Lineage: Eukaryota; Viridiplantae; Streptophyta; Magnoliopsida; Rosales; Rosaceae.